RNAcentral lists this ribosomal RNA (253 nucleotides) under uncultured bacterium. Its description in RNAcentral is "partial 16S ribosomal RNA". It matches the Rfam family "Bacterial small subunit ribosomal RNA", at positions 524 to 776 of the family's 1533-position model. The record is from RNAcentral.
UACAGAGGUCCCAAGCGUUGUUCGGAUUCACUGGGCGUAAAGGGUGCGUAGGUGGCGGGGUAAGUUUGAUGUGAAAUCUCCGGGCUUAACCCGGAAAUGGCAUUGAAUACUAUUCUGCUGGAGGUUUGGAGGGGGGACUGGAAUUCUCGGUGUAGCAGUGAAAUGCGUAGAUAUCGAGAGGAACACCAGUGGCGAAGGCGAGUCCCUGGACAACACCUGACACUGAGGCACGAAAGCUAGGGGAGCAAACAGG